Molecule: ribosomal RNA, 301 nt
Filed under: uncultured bacterium
Lineage: Bacteria
Description: partial 16S ribosomal RNA
Rfam family: Bacterial small subunit ribosomal RNA
Source: RNAcentral
CAGCAGCCGCGGUAAUACGUAGGUCCCGAGCGUUGUCCGGAUUUAUUGGGCGUAAAGCGAGCGCAGGCGGUUAGAUAAGUCUGAAGUUAAAGGCUGUGGCUUAACCAUAGUACGCUUUGGAAACUGUUUAACUUGAGUACAAGAGGGGAGAGUGGAAUUCCAUGUGUAGCGGUGAAAUGCGUAGAUAUAUGGAGGAACACCGGUGGCGAAAGCGGCUCUCUGGCUUGUAACUGACGCUGAGGCUCGAAAGCGUGGGGAGCAAACAGGAUUAGAUACCCCCGUAGUCCCUGUCUCUUAUACA